UAGGGAAUCUUCGGCAAUGGACGAAAGUCUGACCGAGCAACGCCGCGUGAGUGAAGAAGGUUUUCGGAUCGUAAAACUCUGUUGUUAGAGAAGAACAAGGACGUUAGUAACUGAACGUCCCCUGACGGUAUCUAACCAGAAAGCCACGGCUAACUACGUGCCAGCAGCCGCGGUAAUACGUAGGUGGCAAGCGUUGUCCGGAUUUAUUGGGCGUAAAGCGAGCGCAGGCGGUUUCUUAAGUCUGAUGUGAAAGCCCCCGGCUCAACCGGGGAGGGUCAUUGGAAACUGGGAGACUUGAGUGCAGAAGAGGAGAGUGGAAUUCCAUGUGUAGCGGUGAAAUGCGUAGAUAUAUGGAGGAACACCAGUGGCGAAGGCGGCUCUAUGGUCUGAAACUGACGCUGAGGCUCGAAAGCGUGGGGAGCAAACAGG
RNAcentral lists this ribosomal RNA (429 nucleotides) under Gemmatimonadota bacterium. Its description in RNAcentral is "Gemmatimonadetes bacterium partial 16S ribosomal RNA". It matches the Rfam family "Bacterial small subunit ribosomal RNA", at positions 355 to 776 of the family's 1533-position model. Lineage: Bacteria; Pseudomonadati; Gemmatimonadota. The record is from RNAcentral.